GUUGGGGAUAUAGCUCAGUGGCAAGGUGCUUGCCUAGCAUGCAUGAGGUCCAGGGUUCAAUCCCCAGCACAACA
Molecule: transfer RNA, 74 nt
Filed under: Marmota monax (woodchuck)
Lineage: Eukaryota; Metazoa; Chordata; Mammalia; Rodentia; Sciuridae
Description: tRNA.Ala
Source: RNAcentral